RNAcentral lists this unclassified non-coding RNA (255 nucleotides) under Hevea brasiliensis (rubber tree). The record is from RNAcentral. Lineage: Eukaryota; Viridiplantae; Streptophyta; Magnoliopsida; Malpighiales; Euphorbiaceae.
GGUAGGAUGACAGCUGGUGCUUUGUGUCCAGUGAUUGGUAGAGAUUUUUGGUACAUACAACGUAUAAUCACGAGGAAUACACUGGUUUUAUUGAAAAGCUAUGUUUGGUUGAAAAAGACUGUGUUGGGUAGAAAACCUAAGUUCUCUUGCUCGCGACUCCUGUAUCCUUUUAUCUUAUUUCCUCUAAUUUUUUUAUUACUCCCAUCUCAAGGCAUUGUCGCCUUGUAUUCCCUGAUGGUUUCCCUAAUGCUCAAA